Molecule: non-coding RNA, 212 nt
Organism: Pelobates cultripes (western spadefoot toad)
Lineage: Eukaryota; Metazoa; Chordata; Amphibia; Anura; Pelobatidae
Source: the annotation of a GenBank genome assembly
GUGGAGUUAAUGCUAUGCACAUCUCUUCAAAUUUCGUGACUAACUUUCGGGUUGUUUGAUGUUCUACAUACAGAUUAUUAUUGGCCAAAAGAGCUUUAAUCUGCCAAUAUGCAAAUUUAGAUUGUGGUGGAAGUGUAAAUUCUGAUUGGAGAAUCGAAAAAGACUUUAACCCCUCUAUAGUAUAAAGUUUAAAAAUGUGUGUGAUUCCUUUU